AGUGAACGCUGGCGGUAGGCCUAACACAUGCAAGUCGAACGGCAGCACAGUAAGAGCUUGCUCUUACGGGUGGCGAGUGGCGGACGGGUGAGGAAUACAUCGGAAUCUACUUUUUCGUGGGGGAUAACGUAGGGAAACUUACGCUAAUACCGCAUACGACCUACGGGUGAAAGCAGGGGAUCUUCGGACCUUGCGCGAUUGAAUGAGCCGAUGUCGGAUUAGCUAGUUGGCGGGGUAAAGGCCCACCAAGGCGACGAUCCGUAGCUGGUCUGAGAGGAUGAGCAGCCACACGGGAACGGAGACACGGUCCAGACUCCUACGGGAGGCAGCAGUGGGGAAGAUGGGACAAGGGGCGCAAGCCUGAUCCAGCCAUACCGCGUGGGUGAAGAAGGCCUUCGGGUUGUAAAGCCCUUUUGUUGGGAAAGAAAAGCAGCAGGUUAAUACCCCGCUGUUCUGACGGUACCCAAAGAAUAAGCACCGGCUAACUUCGU
RNAcentral lists this ribosomal RNA (491 nucleotides) under uncultured bacterium. Its description in RNAcentral is "partial 16S ribosomal RNA". It matches the Rfam family "Bacterial small subunit ribosomal RNA", at positions 29 to 506 of the family's 1533-position model. The record is from RNAcentral.